GAUGAACGCUGGCGGCGUGCCUAAUACAUGCAAGUCGAGCGAACAGACGAGGAGCUUGCUCCUCUGACGUUAGCGGCGGACGGGUGAGUAACACGUGGAUAACCUACCUAUAAGACUGGGAUAACUUCGGGAAACCGGAGCUAAUACCGGAUAAUAUAUUGAACCGCAUGGUUCAAUAGUGAAAGACGGUUUUGCUGUCACUUAUAGAUGGAUCCGCGCCGCAUUAGCUAGUUGGUAAGGUAACGGCUUACCAAGGCGACGAUGCGUAGCCGACCUGAGAGGGUGAUCGGCCACACUGGAACUGAGACACGGUCCAGACUCCUACGGGAGGCAGCAGCAGGGAAUCUUCCGCAAUGGGCGAAAGCCUGACGGAGCAACGCCGCGUGAGUGAUGAAGGUCUUCGGAUCGUAAAACUCUGUUAUUAGGGAAGAACAAAUGUGUAAGUAACUAUGCACGUCUUGACGGUACCUAAUCAGAAAGCCACGGCUAACUACGUG
RNAcentral lists this ribosomal RNA (497 nucleotides) under uncultured bacterium. RNAcentral describes it as "partial 16S ribosomal RNA". It matches the Rfam family "Bacterial small subunit ribosomal RNA", at positions 28 to 507 of the family's 1533-position model. The record is from RNAcentral.